RNAcentral lists this unclassified non-coding RNA (212 nucleotides) under soil metagenome. RNAcentral describes it as "partial contains 5.8S ribosomal RNA, internal transcribed spacer 2, and large subunit ribosomal RNA". The record is from RNAcentral.
AACAAGGCGUACCUGCGGACCUGCGGAGGGAUCAUUACAAGUGACCCCGGUCUUACCACCGGGAUGUUCAUAACCCUUUGUUGUCCGACUCUGUUGCCUCCGGGGCGACCCUGCCUUCGGGCGGGGGCUCCGGGUGGACACUUCAAACUCUUGCGUAACUUUGCAGUCUGAGUAAACUUAAUUAAUAAAUUAAAACUUUCAGCAAUGGAUCU